RNAcentral lists this ribosomal RNA (406 nucleotides) under uncultured bacterium. Its description in RNAcentral is "partial 16S ribosomal RNA". It matches the Rfam family "Bacterial small subunit ribosomal RNA", at positions 28 to 526 of the family's 1533-position model. The record is from RNAcentral.
GACGAACACUGGCGGCAGGCCUAACACAUGCAAGUCGAACGAGUGGCGGACGGGUGAGUAAUGGCUGGGAAACUGCCUGAUGGAGGGGGAUAACUACUGUAAACGGUAGCUAAUACCGCUUACCAUCCUAUGUGCCCACAUGGGAUUAGCUAGUUGGUGGGGUAACGGCUCACCAAGGCGACGAUCCCUAGCCGGUCGGAGAGGAUGACCAGCCAAACUGGAACUGAGACACGGUCCAGACUCCUACGGGAGGCAGCAGUGGGGAAUAUUGCACAAUGGGCGCAAGCCUGAUGCAGCCAUGCCGCGUGUAUGAAGAAGGCCUUCGGGUUGUAAAGUACUUUCAGCGGGGAGGCGUUACCCGCAGAAGAAGCACCGGCUAACUCCGUGCCAGCAGCCGCGGUAAUUC